UACGGAGGGUGCAAGCGUUAUCCGGAUUCACUGGGUUUAAAGGGUGCGUAGGUGGGCAGGUAAGUCCGUGGUGAAAUCUCUGAGCUUAACUCAGAAACUGCCGUGGAUACUAUUUGUCUUGAAUGUUGUGGAGGUGAGCGGAAUAUGUCAUGUAGCGGUGAAAUGCUUAGAUAUGACAUAGAACACCAAUUGCGAAGGCAGCUCACUACACAAUUAUUGAUGCUGAGGCACGAAAGCGUGGGGAUCAAACAGG
RNAcentral lists this ribosomal RNA (253 nucleotides) under uncultured bacterium. RNAcentral describes it as "partial 16S ribosomal RNA". It matches the Rfam family "Bacterial small subunit ribosomal RNA", at positions 524 to 776 of the family's 1533-position model. The record is from RNAcentral.